UACAGAGGUGGCAAGCGUUGUUCGGAAUUACUGGGCGUAAAGGGCGCGUAGGCGGCCAUCUAAGUCAGACGUGAAAUCCCCCGGCUUAACCUGGGAACUGCGUCUGAUACUGGAAGGCUUGAGUAUGGGAGAGGGAUGUAGAAUUCCAGGUGUAGCGGUGAAAUGCGUAGAUAUCUGGAGGAACACCGGUGGCGAAGGCGGCAUCCUGGACCGGCAUUGACGCUGAGGCGCGAAAGCUAGGGGAGCAAACGGG
This 253-nucleotide ribosomal RNA is filed under the name uncultured bacterium. RNAcentral describes it as "partial 16S ribosomal RNA". It matches the Rfam family "Bacterial small subunit ribosomal RNA", at positions 524 to 776 of the family's 1533-position model. The record is from RNAcentral.